GUCGAACGAGAACGGAACUAGCUUGCUAGUUUGUCAGCUAAGUGGCGCACGGGUUAGUAAUAUAUAGUUAAUCUGCCCCAAAGAAGAGGAUAAUUGUUGGAAACGACUUGUAACGCUCUAUAUGCCUUUAUCACAUAAGUGAGCAAGGGAAACAUUUAUGGCUUUGGGAUGAGACUGUACGGUAUCAGCUAGUUGGUGAGGUAAUGGCUCACCAAGGCAAUGACAUCUAACUGGUUUGAGAGGAUGAUCAGUCACACUGGAACUGAGACACGGUCCAGACUCCUACGGGAGGCAGCAGUGGGGAAUAUUGCACAAUGGAGGAAACUCUGAUGCAGCAACGCCGCGUGGAGGAUGACACAUUUCGGUGCGUAAACUCCUUUUAUAUGAGAAGAUAAUGACGGUAUCAUAUGAAUAAGCACCGGCUAACUCCGUGCCAGCAGCCGCGGUAAUACAGGGGGUGCAAGCGUUACUCGGAAUCACUGGGCGUAAAGAGCAUGUAGGCUGAUUUGUAAGUUGGAAGUGAAAUCCUAUGGCUCAACCAUAGAACUGCUUCCAAAACUGCUUAUCUAGAGUAUGGGAGAGGUAGAUGGAAUUUCUGGUGUAGGGGUAAAAUCCGUAGAGAUCAGAAGGAAUACCGAUUGCGAAGGCGAUCUACUGGAACA
RNAcentral lists this ribosomal RNA (662 nucleotides) under uncultured Arcobacter sp. Its description in RNAcentral is "bacterial SSU rRNA". It matches the Rfam family "Bacterial small subunit ribosomal RNA", at positions 61 to 736 of the family's 1533-position model. Lineage: Bacteria; Pseudomonadati; Campylobacterota; Epsilonproteobacteria; Campylobacterales; Arcobacteraceae. The record is from RNAcentral.